GGUGCUGUUUGGUCCAGUGUGGGUGCUGUUUGGUCCAUGUGGGGGCUGUUUGGUCCAGUGUGGGGGCUGCUGGGUCCAUGUGGGUGCUGUUUGGUCCAGUGUGGGGCUGUUUGGUCCAGUGUGGGUGCUGUUUGGUCCAGUGUGGGGGCUGCUGGGUCCAGUGUGGGCGCUGACAGCAAUGGUGGACAGAGAGCUGGGUGAGUGCCAUGACGUGCGGAGGGUACACAGUGAGCACUUCAGGUGCGGAGGUCAGAACAGGUACAUGAACUGCCUUCACCACUCAUCUUAUUGACGGAAGUGAGCAUCACACUCCGGGAGGAAACCUGCUUGGGCAGGUGGGGUACUUGAUGUCGUCACUGGCACAUGAGGCAGAAAGGAGAUCUGGAGACUGGGUGGGAGAAUCCAGUGGGCAUGCAUCCCGAGGCCUUCCCUCCUUGCUCUUCUGUAAGGUUCCCUCAGGCAUGUCUGGCUUGGCAGUGGUGUCCGAGGCUGGGCUUCACGGCAGGCUGCCUGGCUGCAGUUUGGCCUGGAGCACCUGUGCCCUCCCUCAGCCGGCACCUAGGUGGCUCAGGCUUCUGGGGGACUUGCGAUGACUGUCUCCAUCCCGUCCCCUC
Orcinus orca (killer whale) is the source of this 614-nucleotide long non-coding RNA. RefSeq lists it as uncharacterized. NCBI's taxonomy places the organism in Eukaryota, Metazoa, Chordata, Mammalia, Artiodactyla, Delphinidae. The record is from RefSeq and is a predicted model, not a curated record. The transcript has 3 exons.